GGUUUCAUAGUGUAGUGGUGAUCAGGUCUGCUUUACACGUAGAAGGUCCUGGGUUCAAACCCCAGUAUAACCA
RNAcentral lists this transfer RNA (73 nucleotides) under Pleuronectes platessa (European plaice). It matches the Rfam family "tRNA". From Rfam's summary of the family: Transfer RNA (tRNA) molecules are approximately 80 nucleotides in length. Lineage: Eukaryota; Metazoa; Chordata; Actinopteri; Pleuronectiformes; Pleuronectidae. The record is from Rfam by way of RNAcentral.